GUUUUUAUAAUUUAACAAAAAUAUUGGUUUUGUAAACCAAAAAUAAAAAGAAAUUUUUUAAAAACA
Molecule: transfer RNA, 66 nt
Filed under: Chrysolina vernalis
Lineage: Eukaryota; Metazoa; Arthropoda; Insecta; Coleoptera; Chrysomelidae
Description: tRNA-Thr
Source: RNAcentral